GGGAGCUUAGUUAAGUGGCAUAACUGCGGUCUCCAAAACCGCUGUCAGGGGUUCGAUUCCUCUAGCUCCCGCCA
RNAcentral lists this transfer RNA (74 nucleotides) under Minisyncoccota bacterium. Its description in RNAcentral is "tRNA-Trp". It matches the Rfam family "tRNA". From Rfam's summary of the family: Transfer RNA (tRNA) molecules are approximately 80 nucleotides in length. Their secondary structure includes four short double-helical elements and three loops (D, anti-codon, and T loops). Lineage: Bacteria; Bacillati; Minisyncoccota. The record is from RNAcentral. RNAcentral also lists the same sequence under 1 other name.